AGCUUUGCGCAGUGGCAGUAUCGUAGCCAAUGAGGUUUAUCCGAGGCGCGAUUAUUGCUAAUUAAAAAAGCAGAGUACAGAAUAAUGUAUAUAGUAUGCUACUCUUGUGAGUGAGAAGAAGAAUGAUAAUGAUAGUAUUUAUUUGUAUCUAUUUACAAAUA
RNAcentral lists this small nuclear RNA (161 nucleotides) under Neogale vison (American mink). Its description in RNAcentral is "Neovison vison (American mink) U4 spliceosomal RNA (ENSNVIG00000022803.1)". It matches the Rfam family "U4 spliceosomal RNA". Rfam says of the family: U4 small nuclear RNA (U4 snRNA) is a component of the major U2-dependent spliceosome. The structure of U4 snRNA from yeast and human has been reported. The record is from Rfam by way of RNAcentral. Lineage: Eukaryota; Metazoa; Chordata; Mammalia; Carnivora; Mustelidae.